CGAAUUGGGGUUCUUUUCGUGGUGCACGCGGUUUUGGGUGAAUGUCGAGUCGGGUCGUUUGCCUGUUUUGGCCUUUAAAUAGAUUUUCAAUUAGCGUAGGCGCGUUUGAUUAACCGACCAUUACUAGGAGAUUUCACUUAUUACUUACCAAUAUUAAUAUCAUUAAGCCUUAAAUAUUUUAAUUUUAAUUAAUUUCUUUAACAACUCAUUUUCUUAAAAAACAAUUUAGACAUAAAAUAUAUUUUUUAAAUAUUUAUUUUCGAAGUAAAAAUAUUUAUUUUAUAAUUAAUUAAAAAUUUAACUAUUUGACUAUAUUUAUCUUUAAGUAAAUUAAAAAAAAAAUCAAAUUGUACAAUUUAUUAAUAAUUUUUUUUUUUCAAAAUUUUACCAUAAUUAAUGAUUAAUUGAGAUUCAUUUAUAAGUUUCGGAUACUUCCAUUAUUAAAUCGAAUUGUGCAAGUUCUAGCAACAAUAGUUUCAGUGAUUUUUAUUUUUAUUAUGUAUAAAAAAUGUAAAACUAAUAUUAAAUUAAUUUAAGAUCAGCCCAAUAAAUAAAAACUUAUUCAUAUUUAACAUAAACGUAGUCCAAAUUGACAGCCCAUUAUCUGGAGUCAUACAUUUAAAAUCCAACCUUAAAGCCCAGUCCAUUUCGUUCCAUUUGGGCCACCAUGGUUUCCGAUGGUUCCUACUCUGGUCUCAAACGACACCGUUUUUCAAUUAAUACAGUGAGUUGCCAUGGAGAUUCGAGAACGAAGAGGGGCAAUUGACGCUGUUUUGCCAAUUACCAAUUUACAAAUCGUUCUGUGCAUUCGUAACCAGUUAAUAAUGAAUUAGAAAAAGAACAGUUAAUAAUAAAUAAAUAUAUAAAAUAAUAAUAAUUUCUUUUUUAAAGAAAAACAUCAAUCUACUGCUGGCAGGGGAAUGAUGUCUUCCUGUUUGAUUUUUUGGUCUGCAGAAGGAAAAGAAAGUAAUAAAAGACAUCUUCUGCGGGACCCACUUUCCCACUAAAAGAUCGGUUCACAGCCUACGCGCCAGAAACUCAACUUAUUACAGAGCGAGAGAGAGAACACAGAUACUUCUCUGCAUCUGAUUAUACACAACCAUAGCCAGCCUCGCCUCCUCCUCUCCUUUCUCCCGUCUGAUUAUGGAUUAGACUUCGCAACCGGAAGCCUCUUUCCUCUCACCACUCUAACCAUACCUAGUCCGACCAUACGGCUACUGCUCGCCGGCUUAAGUCCCGAGAUUGGGGCGAUCUAGGGUCCCGAGCUGCUAGNNNNN
Molecule: long non-coding RNA, 1277 nt
Filed under: Carica papaya (papaya)
Lineage: Eukaryota; Viridiplantae; Streptophyta; Magnoliopsida; Brassicales; Caricaceae
Description: long non-coding RNA (CPAP_LNC005781)
Source: RNAcentral